Eucalyptus grandis is the source of this 153-nucleotide non-coding RNA. The record is from Rfam. Lineage: Eukaryota; Viridiplantae; Streptophyta; Magnoliopsida; Myrtales; Myrtaceae.
GUUGCUUCCUAAUGGUGAACUCCCUCUAAAAUUCAAAGAUGAGGGAUGUUUCAAGUUUCCGAAGCAUAGAUUGAACGAUUUCCAAUCAGUGUUUAACAGCGCCGGUGCUUCUAUUUCGCGUCGCACCGGCGCUACCUGUCUGCUGAUACAUCA